AGUGAACGCUGGCGGUAGGCCUAACACAUGCAAGUCGAGCGGCAGCACAGUAAGAGCUUGCUCUUACGGGUGGCGAGUGGCGGACGGGUGAGGAAUACAUCGGAAUCUACUUUUUCGUGGGGGAUAACGUAGGGAAACUUACGCUAAUACCGCAUACGACCUACGGGUGAAAGCAGGGGAUCUUCGGACCUUGCGCGAUUGAAUGAGCCGAUGUCGGAUUAGCUAGUUGGCGGGGUAAAGGCCCACCAAGGCGACGAUCCGUAGCUGGUCUGAGAGGAUGAUCAGCCACACUGGAACUGAGACACGGUCCAGACUCCUACGGGAGGCAGCAGUGGGGAAUAUUGGACAAUGGGCGCAAGCCUGAUCCAGCCAUACCGCGUGGGUGAAGAAGGCCUUCGGGUUGUAAAGCCCUUUUGUUGGGAAAGAAAAGCAGCAGGUUAAUACCCCGCUGUUCUGACGGUACACAAAGAAUAAGCACCGGCUAACUUCGUG
This 492-nucleotide ribosomal RNA is filed under the name uncultured bacterium. RNAcentral describes it as "partial 16S ribosomal RNA". It matches the Rfam family "Bacterial small subunit ribosomal RNA", at positions 29 to 507 of the family's 1533-position model. The record is from RNAcentral.